Molecule: long non-coding RNA, 8343 nt
Filed under: Homo sapiens (human)
Lineage: Eukaryota; Metazoa; Chordata; Mammalia; Primates; Hominidae
Description: HSALNT0367045
Source: RNAcentral
CCGGAGUUCUGGCCAGGAGGCUCUGGCUGGAUUCCAGUUGUUACAGAGCUCGCUGGAGACUUCCUUCUCCCUGUGGCAUUUUCCCCGCUCCUCUGGCCGCCGAAGGAGUCCUGUGGUGCCGGGCAGGAAUGGGCUGCUUGGGGACCCAACGAGCUCCCAGAGCCUUUCCUGCUGCUUCCUCUACCCCUGUGUUUCGCUAGGCUCUCGAGAUGGACUCAGUUCCAGAUUGCCCAGCCUCACAUAUUCCUUCAUAGCAACACAAAGGGACUGAGACAAUAUAUAAGUUAACAUCUGCCAUGUAGUGGAGGUUCCAGAGAAAAAGUGAGAGAAGCUGAGUCUGCACCCUCAACAUGGAGGAAAUAAGCUCUCUUAGGACCAAGAACAGAGGACAGAGGAAGGACUCCAGCAUGAUGGGCACCAAGGGAUUUUGGUCCUUCUGAGAAAGAGGAGAGACAGGGUCUUCCUCUUUGCCUAAGCUGGAGCGCAUUGGUGUGAUCAUCGCUCACUGCUGCCUCAAACUCCUGGGCUCAUGCGACCCUCCCACCUCAGCCUCCUGACUAGUUGGGACUACAGAAUUGGUUCCUUCCAGUGAGUUCUUGGUCUCGCUGACUUCAAGAAUGAAGCCACAGACCUGUGCGAUGAGUGUUACAGCUCUUAAAGAUGGUGUGUCCAGAGUUUGUUCCUUCAGAUGUUCAGAUGUGUCCGGAGUUUCUUCCUUCUGGUGGGUUUGUCCUCUCGCUAACUUCCAAGAAUGAAGCCGUGGACGUUCACAGUGAGUAUUAGACCUCCUCAGGUUAGUGUGGACCCAAAGAGUGAGCGGCAGCAAGAUUUAUUAAGAGCAAAAGAACAAAGCUUCCACAACACGGAAAGGGACCCAAGCUGGUUGCCUCUGCUGGCUCGGGUGGCCAGGUUUUAUUCCCUUAUUUGGCCCCGCCCACAUUCCGCUGACUGGUCCAUUUUACACAGUGCUGAUUGGUCCAUUUUACAGAGUGCUGAUUGGUGCAUUUUUACAGAGUGCUGAUUGGUGUGUUUACAGUCCUUUGGCUAGACACAGAGUGCUGAUUGGUGUGUUUUUACAGAGUGCUGAUUGGUGCAUUUACAAUCCUUUAGCUAGACUCAGAGUGCUGAUUGGUGCGUUUUUACAGAGUGCUGAUUGGUGCGUUUACAAUCCUUUAGUUAGAUGCAGAGUGCUGAUUGGUGCGUUUACAAUCCUUUAGCUAGACACAGAGCACUGAUUGGUGCGUUUACAGUCCUUUAGCCAGACAGAAAAGUUCUCUAAGUCCCCACUCUACCCAGGAAGUCCAGCUGGCUUCACUUCUCAAUAUACGCAUUCCCUAUUUAAUUUUCCCAUUUUCUUGCGAUGCUUCUGUGUUUUGGCUUUGUGGAAAUCCAUUCUGCAUGCAAUACAGAACACAAAUUUGGCAAAAACAGUACUGGUGAUCAAAAAGCAGCACUGUUGCAUAAGUGUCUUCUUAUCCUACUAUGCACAUAAUUAUUUUCAAACUAGUCAGUAACUUAGCUGGCUUCCUCAGGCAAAUGCAGCUUUAAUUUAUUAAAAGCCCUGGAAUAUCAUCAGCUGGAAGGAAUGCCAACACAGGUAAAUGAGGCAUUUUUAAACUGACGUUUUCAUUCUUGCCGUGUUGUGCAGGCAAUCUACUCAUUUGAAUUUUUCUCCAAAUGCAUUGAGCUGAAUGGAAAAAAACAAACUUUAUUGGUAACACCCUGAAAUCCACUCUUGGAAAUCUUGAUUGCACCUAAUUCCAAAUCUGUCACUAUAGUUGGGGAUUCAACUGAAAUCCAUUUUCUUCUUUAUAAAGACAAUAACAAGGUAAUAGUUCUGCCUAACAUGAUGUGACUUUCCUGCGAUGGUGAUUUUCCAAAUUUUAAAUGUUUAGAAUUUUAGAUGAUAGGGAUUUAGAUUUUAGAGAUUUUGAUCUUUUAGGAUUUCAACAUUCAGGAUUAUGGCACUCAGUAUUGCGUCCUUUGAUAUUAUGAUCCAAACCCUUUCGCUUCAUAAAAAACUGUGAAACAGCUUUUUCUGUGCAUUAAAAAAAAGUUUCAAGGUGGAGUUUCUUACAUUAAGAGAAUCUUUUUAAAGAAAAUGUGUGGUGGAGAAAUUUUCGAGGAGGACAUCUUUAUCUAAUCAUUUCUAGUAAGCAAACUUUCUCUACUAGGUCAAGAUCUAAGCAAACACACAAAUGUGAACAACAGGGAAAGAACCCAUUGACCUACCAAGACAGGCUGCCAACAGAAUUUUGAAGGCUUGCCAAGAUGCUUUUAUGGAGGUAGAGUGAAUGAGAUUCCGUAAGUGCAAAAUAAUCCUUUUAAGACUACCCAGAAAGUAAUAUAAGUGAACUAGUUAUAUAAGAUUCAGUGAGGACUACCAAAACAUUGGGAAGAAAUGUGGAUUUUAUCAUUCAAGGAAAUAUAAUUUUAUUGUAAGAUAUAAUCUUUGUUUUUGUAGUCAAAUAGAAACAUUCAUGCCUUAAUACAACGUUUGGUAAAAAGAACUGAAGAAGACACCAUAGAAGAUUUUAACAAACAAUGAACUCAUUAGCUAAAAGAUUUGUCAUGAAAUAAUGAUUGAUUUAGUUGUUUUCUAAAAUAUUUCUAGUGCCUAUUAGAUGUUGAAGGAGACUUUGAUCAUGAAGUGUGUUCUCUGAGGAGCUGCUAUUUUUAUUUUUAUAUUUGUUUGAAGUGAAUUGUCCUGCUAAUUCUUUAACAUAAAAUAUCUUCAAUUACAUGAUUCAACAUUUUAAAAAGUGAUUAAGACAGAAGAAUAUGUGCUGGGAUUUAUUUUUGGAUCUUUGAAGUAGCAAAGAGUAGCAGAACUCCUUAAUCCAUAGAGUGGUUAUUUUGCUGUAUGAUGACUCUUGUAUUUACUCCCUGAAUUACCCUUUCCACUAAAAAGUAUUAAUGAGACAUUAGUAGGCUAUAGAAAAAAAUACUUCUGAUCUACUUAGAAAUAUUCAUGAGGUUUUCUCCUGGUGGAUUCACAUCAAAUUUUAUUUUUUAAAACCCCAAGUAUUUUUAUUUGAUGAUUAAUAAGUAAGAUGGAGGCUGGUAGGUGGAAAUCGCCAGCAGGAAAAUAAAAUGCUUUGGCUAAGCCGACAACUGCUACUGUCCUCCUCUGUACAGACUCUCCUGCUGAAGACUCACGGAGGCUUAUUUCAAGUCUUCUUUAGUUCAUUACCUGCAUGUUCAAAUGGAGCUGGUACUGUGACUCACAGCUUUCUGUCCAAGAAUGCGAUUUGUACCUCUACAAAUCUUCUACACCUUCUUCAUCUAGUAAACACUUACUCUACAGGUCUCAUCUCAAAUCUAUUACUAUAUGCAACUAUAGUACAUAAGCAAGCCAUUUAAAAAUGUUAAAGGAAGAUAUGCAUUGAUAUGGGUUGGCUGUUUUCCCACCCAAAUCUCAUCUUGAAUCGUAGCUCCCAUAAUCCACACGUGUCAUGGGAGGGACCCAAUGGAAGGUAAUUAAAUAAUCGGGGUGGGUUUUUCCCAUGCUGCUCUCAUGAUAGUAAAUAAGUCUCAUGAAAUCUGAUGGUUUCAUAAUAUAAAGGGCAGUUCCCCUGCACAUGCUCUCUUGCCUGCCACCAUGUAAGAUGGGCCUUUGCUCCUCCUUUGCCUUCUGCCAUGAUUGUGAGGCCUCUCCAGCCAUGUGGAACUGUAAGUCCAUUAAAUCUCUUUUUCUUUAUAAAUUACCCAGUCUUGGAUAUCUCUUCAUAGGAGUGUGAAAAUGGACUAAUAGAUACAUAUAGGUACACAUACAUGUAUACAUAAAGCCAUUCCAAAAGACUUUGCUUCCUGAAGUUUGUAAAUGUAAACAAAUUUAUUGUACCAUCAUUUAGGUUACUACGUUGCUCACUAACAUAGAAACAAUAUCUAAAAUGGGUACUUAUAGGGUUAUUAAAAUAUAGUAUGAAUAUGGCUACUGGAAAAAAGUCAAAGAUAUAUUUUGAGGCCACUACUCUACGUCUCUUGAUGUUCUCUUGUACACAUUUGAUAUUGCACAAAAGCCAAAAGUUUGGACUCCUUUGAUUAAAGGCAAGGUCAAGUAAUCCUGCUGGUUCUACCUCUCCUCCCAUUUCUUAAAUGAAAGGAUGUAGUCAUAUAAGGUGCUGUUUAGUAAAAUGGUGCCGUGAAUUCAGCAUGAAAUGUCUGGGCAAGUGUUUUUCAAGUUGUCACAUAUAUACUAUAUUUAUCUUCCUCCUUUUCCCUCCUCAACCUCAGUCCCCAUCACCCAGUGUUUCAUAAGGUUUUACUUUCUGUAGCUUAUACUGUAAAACCAGGAGUUCCCUUCCUCCUCUCCCAAAUAUAACCUUUUCUAAUAAUAUUAAUUGCACUUUCCCUAACUAUACAUACCUCCCUGGAGAUUUUGAACUGUAAUUCUUUCUCUCCUCCAUUUUCCUUGAGCAUUUUUCAUCUAGUGGAAUAUUCGGUGGCAAAGCUCUCAUUCUGGAAGAAGUUUAGCCAUGUAAGCAUAGAAGAAAUAAGCCAACAAUGGUAAACAUAGUUAAUGCAUGUAGUUAAGUCUUCUAAACAUGUCACUUGAAUGAUGUCACAUUUUGCUUUUUCAAACUAGGAAUCAACAAAAUGGAGGAACAUUUGAGGUUUGUUAAGAAAUUUCCCUUCUUAGCCAUAGAACUAAGAUAUUUUUAAAUAAAGAAGAUCAUAGUGGGCCAUAAAUGAUGUGCCUUUCUAGGAUCCCAAAAUGUUUUAUUGAUUGAAUUAUAUAGAGAGAUUUAAUGGAACCGUGGUUGAAAAAUGCUUUUAAAGUCUUUGAUCACUGGGAUAUCAAUGGAACAAAUGGGUUAAAACAUUUUCAGAAUUUAAUCAUUUAUCUAGGUAACAGGGUUGGGGGUAAAUGGCGGGAGAGAAGGGGAGGGCCGGGGCAUUAAUGAAUAGUACUCCAUGUAAAAAGAAGAAUUGACUAGUAACAUCUGUACUAUUUAAAUUAACAGGCUGGCAUAUAUUGUUGUGCAGGUUUUGCAUUGCCCAAUUCUUGGGGGGGGCGGCAUUCACAUUUGUAGUCAUUAUGGGUUCCUCUAUUUAUAAUGCCAAUUUUCUAGCAGAUGUUGGUUUAUUGCCUUGAGAAACUGUUAGAUUCCUCUAAUUUUUGCAAAGAUGGCUUUGGGAAGUUGAAAGAUUACCUGAUUACUAUUAGAGAAUCCUGCUACCAAUACAUACUUGUCUUGUAUAAUUUGGGCAAAAUAUAAUAUUCCUGAAUCUUAGAUUCCUUGUUUGUAAAAUGUUUAAAAUAUAUCUAAAUGUAAGAAUUGUUGUAGCAUAUAUAUGUGAGUACAUGAAUGUGGCCGUCACAGCAGCUGUAAGUGGAAGAUAUUAUAAAUAUUGUUAAAACCUUCUGAUGUUUUAUUUUAAGCUGAUAGUUUUUCUUUAUGCUGACUUUACAGUGAGUUUUAAACAUACACUUGAGUUUAUCAUUUGUAUAUAACUACUGAUAGAAAUCUGAUGAAAAACACUAAUAGUAGUUUAUAAAAGAUUUUUUUCAAUAUGAACUUUUUGUUUCCAUUGUGAGAAAUUAAAUUUCAAAAUGUAAUUAUUAAAUGUAUGCCUGACUUUCAAAUGUUUUUCUAUAUCCAGCUAAUUAAAAAUAUUUAUAACGUAGUAGUAGUUAAAUGUCAUGUUCGCCUUAUUAGAAAGAAUGCCUUCAAAUCAGUAUUAUCAUGAUUACCAUUUAUUUAACAUCUUCAGUAUGCAGGGCAUUUAUAAAAUCUGUAGAAAUUAAUUUUCUCUAAAUGCAACAAGCUUUAUGACCAGCACUCACUGUCUAUAAAAGAUGACUUGCUUGGCAGAAGAGGAAACAGUUUCUUCAGACCUUCCAGCCACAGUCAGCCCUGGUGACAUUGCAUAUCAGCUUCUAAAGGGCCUCGCACAUUCCUUGGCUUGUGAUGUCCCUUCCCCAUCAUCAAAGACAGCAACGAAACUUCAGGCUACCAUACCUGCUUCAACUGUAGGAGAAUCUUAGUUCUGGAGAGUUGACCCUCCAGGCGAAGCAUUAGGCUUUGAUACAAUUUGUCUGGUACCGGCUGUAGAUCUGGUUUGGGCCCCAGACUAUCUUCCCUGUCCUCAAGAAUCAAAACCAACUUGGAAUGACUCCUGGCCCACUCAGCACCUUUCCGGAAGCCAGAAGAAUGAAGUGCCACACAUAUCAUCAGAGAGAAUUCCAAGGAAGAGGGAAUGGUCUAUAGUGUCUCAAGCCACAUUAAUCCUUCAAGAACAGUGUUAACUUUCUCAGGCUACUGGAACUCCACUUUUUGGAACUGUUAUAUUUACUGUUGGGGAGUGACUUUGGCACCAAGGAGAACUUGGCUCAAAUGAAUGGUUUUGGAUCACACAUCUUCAUGAUUUGGGAAUGAUAUGUGUGUUUAUUUUAUGAAAAAUGUUAGUAAUGAAGCAUUUAAAAUAUAUCAAAAGGAAAAUCUCCAAGAGUUGGUGAAUCAUGCUGUUGCCAAUAAUAGGCAUGUGACAUAACUGAACAUUUCAUCAUCUUCAGUAAAUAAUCAAGAUGAGAUGACAUGCUGGGUCUGUGAUCACCAGGGAUCCAAAUGCCUUCGAUCUUGGUGCUGGCUCACAAUCACCAAGUGGCUUCCACCUCACAGUCUGCUGUGGUUGAUUAAACUCCAGCAUCUUAUUGAUGUUCUAGCUGGCAGAAACGAAAAAGAACCCAACAAGGGCAAGGUUGAAUUACAAAGAAAGGAGAAAAUAUCCAUUGGAGGACUACUAUCAACCUCUGCCACAAUUUCUACAUUUUCUCAACGUAUGAAAUUUUAAAGUAUACUACUAAAUUUUAAAAAUUAUUCGUAUUCAUAUUUUCAAUGGUAAAACUAUCGAGCAUUCUGUUGUUUGUGCCAAUUGUUUUACCAAAAAUUUUAGAUACAAGAAGAGACAUUUAUAACACAAGGUGUUUCUAACUGGAAAGUAAGCCCUGGAAAAAUUUAGGAAACAAGAGAGAUGUGAAACGUGCUUUAUGUUAUUGUGAUUUUGAAAUCUAUUUUUUGGAAAAACUAUGCUUAUAAAUAAUUGAAACUUUAAGAGAGGUUGAAGACAGUGGAGCACAAUUAAAUUUUGUGGUUAGAAGGUUGCAUUUCUAAAAAAAAAUGUUUACUAUUGAGAGGGCAUUACAGUGCUAUGAGGGCAGGAAUUUUCGUUCAUUUUCUUCACUUAUAUUUUUUGCAACCAGAGUAGUGUGUCGAACACAGUAGGGGCUAGAUAAAUGUUGAAUUAAUGAUUGAUCAAUUGGUGGAUUAAAUUAGAGUAAAAGAUGAAGAAACAUUUCUUUUUAUUUAUUUAUUUAUUUUUAUUAUACUUUAAGUUUUAGGGUACAUGUGCGUAACAUGCAGGUUAGUUACAUAUGUAUACAUGUGCCAUGUUGGGUGAAGAAACAUUUCAACACAUGAAUUACAAGCAGAUUUUUACAAAAGAGCACACAUUUAAUACUAAAUUUGAAAAUUCACCAAACAUAGUAAUAACAUCAGUUUUUCCUUAGCUUAUUCGAUAAUACGAGAAAACUGUGUAGGGAAAGAACAACUUGAGUACAUAUAAAACCCACUGAAGAUGUCAAAAUGUAUCCAAAUUUAAAAGAGGCUCUUAAAUUUUAUCAAGCUAAGAGAAGUCUGGGACUAAGCAAGAAUUUAUUUGUAGCAAGUCACAAAAUAAAAAUAAAUUAUGUGGCCUAGACUGCAACAGUCAUAAAAUUGUGGGAAUUUUAAUGAAGUUCUUUCUGAAUUUAAAGAAAACCACAGAGGUUUCCUUAUCAUUAUGCAUGCCUUUUGCAUUUAUGAGUGAUAAUGUUUCAUGAGUAAGUAAAAAAGUUGUAAAAAUCCUAAAUACUGUAUGUCUUUAUAUGCUAUCACUCAGAAAUAUGCAAAAAGAUAAACACUUCCUCACAAUAUGUAAGCAGAACAAAGGCAUUAGAAGUAAGCUAUGCAAGUUGUAAAACAUGGGUUGACAUGUACUUAGUCUUAUUUUAUUGGUAUAAUUGAGACACAUCUGGAGAUUACUGAGUCUUGAAAUAUGCAGAUGACUGAUGAAUUAAGUGUUUGGCUGACAGAUUUCAAAUUUGAAAUUAUAAUUUCUUUAAAAUGCUUAUUUAAAAAAAGUCUUCUGUUGUGAUUAGAAUUCUUUUUCAAGGAUGGAAAUGUAAAUAUAUUAUGGAUCCUUUUCCUUGGCCUUCAACAGAGAGCCAUGAUUUCAUUUUUUUGUCAAAGAGAGACAAUAAAUAUUUUAAAUAUAUUUGGGAAAGAGAGAAACUAUAUGUCACAAACCAAUCUCUAUCUAAAUCUUUCAAAGUACACAUGCCCUGUCUUUAAAACAGGC